CCUACGGGUGGCAGCAGUGAGGAAUAUUGGUCAAUGGCCGGAAGGCUGAACCAGCCAUGCCGCGUGAAGGUCAGUGCCCUAUGGGCGUUAAACUUCUUUUGUGCGGGAGCAAUAAUGGUCACGUGUGGCCAGGCGAGAGUACCGUACGAAUAAGCAUCGGCUAACUCCGUGCCCGCGGCCGCGGUCAUGAGGGGGGUGCAGGAGUUAUCCGGAUUUAUUGGGGUUGAAGGGUGCGCAGGCGGUGGAGUAAGUCAGAGGUGAAUGCCCCGGCUCAACGGGGUGAAGUGCCAUUGAUACUAGCUUGCUGGAAUGCGGAUGCGGUGGGAAGAAUGUGUGGUGUAGCGGUGAAAUGCAUAGAGAUCACACAGAACACCGAUUGCGAAGGCAUCUCACGAAUCCGCGAUUGACGCUGAUGCACGAAAGCGUGGGUAUCAAACAGGAUUAGAUACCCGGGUAGUC
Molecule: ribosomal RNA, 459 nt
Filed under: uncultured bacterium
Lineage: Bacteria
Description: partial 16S ribosomal RNA
Rfam family: Bacterial small subunit ribosomal RNA
Source: RNAcentral